CAGCCGCCACGGUAAUACGGAGGAUCCAAGCGUUAUCCGGAAUCAUUGGGUUUAAAGGGUCAGUAGGCGGUCUUGUAAGUCAGUGGUGAAAGCCCAUCGCUCAACGGUGGAACGGCCAUUGAUACUGCAGGACUUGAAUUAUUGGGAAGUAACUAGAAUAUGUAGUGUAGCGGUGAAAUGCUUAGAGAUUACAUGGAAUACCAAUUGCGAAGGCAGGUUACUACCAAUUGAUUGACGCUGAUGGACGAAAGCGUGGGUAGCGAACAGGAUUAGAUACCCCCGUAGUCCCUGUCUCUUAUAC
Molecule: ribosomal RNA, 301 nt
Filed under: uncultured bacterium
Lineage: Bacteria
Description: partial 16S ribosomal RNA
Rfam family: Bacterial small subunit ribosomal RNA
Source: RNAcentral